Molecule: long non-coding RNA, 7803 nt
Organism: Dromaius novaehollandiae (emu)
Lineage: Eukaryota; Metazoa; Chordata; Aves; Casuariiformes; Dromaiidae
Exons: 3
Source: RefSeq, a predicted model, not a curated record
CUUCAGGACAACCUUGGUAGCCUGGAAUCAGCACCUCCCGCUGCGACACAGACCUUCCACCUUCAGUCUUGCUAUCUCUUCUGUGCACCUUUAGAUAGUGUUGAUGAUGAUGACAUCUUUGCCUGUCUGCCUGGCCAACCUCCUGCAGCGCUCUAUAAACCAUCUGGUGUCUUCUAGAAAAGGAAAAAAUUGAACGACAUCUGUCCUUAGCAUGGUGAAGAGGGAAAAAAAGAAGAUACGGUCAUAUCCCAGAAAGAGAAAAUUCAUUUCAACUUCAGUAAAAGCUGUGUGUUUCUUAACUGCCCUGAUGUAGAUGUUGCACUCCAAGAGGCAGAGAACCUGUUGAUGACCUAAAUCCAACCAACUCCUUUCAUGAAGUGUUCUGUGGUGAUGGCACUCAGAUAGAUAAGGAGGAAGAAGAAAUCUAAGCCCACUACUAGAAGACUGGAAAAGAAGUGGUCAAGAAAGAAAUGAUUUUCAGUGCUGCUUCUCCUGCUGCAGUGGUGGUAGGUGGAAAGCAGUACUGGGUGAGCAAAGAGUGCUUAAGGGAAUCGGAGAGGGCGAUGCCUAUGAUGAACAUUUCUCAUAGAGGUGAGUGAAAUGAGUGGGAAGAUACGACAUGUGGUGUAGGGGAGCAGGAUAAUAAAUCCAUACUUUCAUAAUCAUUUGUGACUAGGCACUCAGGGUGGGAUUCAUUUGACAAAAAAUAGAUGUUUUCAUUUGAGCUACUCACAUUCUGUGACCUUUAGAGCCAGUGGAGAGAGGUAAGCAUUUUUUAAAACAUUAGCUUGUGUUUUUGUGGCUUUAUUGGUUAAGAAAGAAGAGCUAGUUUUUCAUAUAAUGCAAAGCUUUUGCCUAAUCCCAAAGAAAGGAUUUAUUACUACUUUGGCGGGGAGCUGUGCUGGAAACUCUUCCCACUUCAGUUCCCUGGACAAUGUCCUCCUCUGAAAUAUGGUUUGACUGUUCUGAACAGUCUUGCAUUGCAAAUUCACACACUGCAAUAUUGACAUCUGGCUUGGCAUAUGGGAUACAGAUAGUCCUUGAUUGCUGAACAGCUGUGCUGCUUUGAAAAGAAACAAUUGCAUUUGAAGAAUAUGGAAUAUAGAGUAGGCCUUGUCCUAUCCCACACAUCUUGCUGACAUUUCUUUUUCUAAAUUACCAGUCUGUUUAUUAAAUUUCCACAGUAUAAAAAAAAACCAGAAUUUAUACAAGACUGAAGUAGAUGGUAAUAUUGUCAGAUAUGCCAGCAAACAAUCCAUCGACAACACAUGUUAGGAAUCGGUCCAUUACAAUUAGUCAAGAACAAUGCCAGAAAAUGAUGGGACUGAGUAUAAACAAACAAACAAGCACAAAGGAGGGGACAAGAGAAGUACUGAAGGUUUAGCAAAUGUUUCCAUCGAUUUUGUAUUUAAAAAAAGCAUUCUGAUGAAGAAACCAAAAGUUUUAAAACAAACUCAAUAACUGCAAGAUAGUGAGCUCAUUUACACUGUAACCAAAAGUGCUAGUAAAAGUUGCAUGUCAGCUGUCACUUGGUCAGGAAAUGAUCCUCCAUAGCAAAGUAUUAUGCAUUCAUACAGGGAAGGAAAGCAACUCUUUAGAACCUAAAGUUUUCUCAGUAAAGGCAGGAAUGGUCAAACUGAUGUAUCUUGUUCUGAAUUUUGUUGUGUAAGGAAUGUUGUAAAUUGAAGUUGUUCAUUCAGACUUUGCUUUAUUUUGCAAACCCUGGUAUAUAUUUCUACAGUUAUACCCAUUUUCAUGAUUUGUCAUAGUAGGGCUGUAUAUCCAACUGAUAUACAUUUCACUUACAUUUCACCUACAAAAAGGUUUUUUUGCCAGGUUAACUGUAGACACUUUCCAUCAGUCCUGUAUCUUAUGCCAUGACUUUUAGAUGCAUAGUUUUAAAGGCCUUAGGUGCUAUUAUGAACACCAAGUCUGCCCUAAUAUGUAACAGUUUCACCCGGUAAAUUCUAUGUCAGUCAUGGUAUCUGCUAGAAAGAUAGCAUGUCUGUAAAAGAAGGUAUCUAGUACUGAUUUAAAGACCUGAGGACUAGAAUUAAUUCCACCUGAGUUAUGUAAGUUAGCAGUCACUUCAGGCUUUCUCAAUAGUCAACAAGAGUAGGUAGUAUUGGGGUGAAUAAAGCUGAAUUUACCUUUUUAAGGUGCCUAUUGCAUAUUCAGGAAGCCUAAGACUGUUAUCCUCCUAUGUCCAUUAAGUGCUUGAAAGCGGGAUGGGACAAAUCUAGAACGAAGUGGGCCAAAGUUAUUGUAGGCAAAAUUCUAGCAAAAAGAAAUUGAAGAGAAAUGUUGCAGAAUAAUACAUUGGCUAUACAAGAGACUCUCCUGGCAGCACAACCCUAUGACUCAUCAGAAUAACUAAAAAUGUCUUGCAAUACAGAGAAAUGAGGGGACUGUUGAAACAGAGGAAUAAUAGUGAUUUUUCAAAUGAAAAUAAAUGAUUGUUAUUUAUUCAAUUCAGGGUAAUCUGAAAGAGUACAGAUUUGUACUAUUCUAGCAGGUCAGUGCAUGAUCAAAGCCUUUUAACUCAACAGAUCCCUUCACAAAAUUUAUUUGUACUAAAAAAAUUAAUGUGACAAAACCCUACAAUACCACACAGCCAAACAAACCAAAGAUGCGGUUUCAAAGUCUUUUAUCUUCUAUAUUUUCACUCCAGAGCAGAUUUCUUUUACCUCUGCCAAGUUCAUGAAAGUCUUAUAUUUUUAUUUCAUCUGUAUUUGUUAUUAAGUUGUCCUAGAGUUCGCCUUUUGCUUUCAGUAUCUUUAUAGAAGCUUCUUACUAUAAACUUUAAAUAUAUGGGACACAUCCUUCCCUGGAUCAUUAAUUCUUCCCCUGCACCAGGCCGAGUAGGGCAGAAAGCUUGCAGCAAAGACACAAAAUGUCUUUCAUAUCCUCUUCUGGGAAGAAAUGCGAUCAAUGGCUCAACCUCCACAUCCAAAGUGUCAUUAAUUGAUUUGGCAGAUGACCUCCCAGGAAUGCCAAAUCUAUUCAUUGCAGAAUCUGUGGUACAUGGAAUUUCGAAAUCUUCCAUGUGUUCUUCCAAAUUCAGUGCUGCACUGUGGUAUAGCAAACAGCUGGGAUUCAAAAUGUGUUACAGUUUUUAUUACAGAUUGCAAAUAGAGGAAUAAACAGCAACAAAAAAGAAUACGGGAUAGACCAGGUUUCAGUUCUUAGAAUGCUGGUGUAUUUUUCACUCAAAAUCUUAACACUUUCCUAUCAGCCUGCAUGAUUCAUGGCUCUGUUGUUCUAUUCUCUGUUUUGACACUUGGCUGGCCCAUAUUAAGAUGCUUUAAGAAUGUACCAUGAUCUCUCAUUUCACUGAAAUAUCACAGAGUGUACAAAGGCCAAAGCAAGAGACGGGAUAUAAGAAGCUCCAUAUUUAGCUGCUUCACUUAUCUUGGCACACAUACCCUAUUCUCUUCUCCUCCCCUCAUGCUAGCAAUCAGGUCUUCCUGAUGAACUAUCAGUUCCUUACUGACAAACACUGACACCAUAAGAGGUAUGUAGAACUGAAGAUUAAUAAGUUGUGCUAAGUAUUCCUACCAAAUAUCUACUAGAGGUCAGCUUGAUAAGUUAUUUAAGGUCCAAAUCCCCAUAUACACAGGAGCUGUUCAAAUUAAACCAAAACGGGCUUCUCAAAUUAGAAGUAUGCUGGGCCUGAUCCUGUAAACAUGAUCAGAGCACAGAAAACUGUGUAGCCAGGAUACGCUUUUGUACUGUACGAUAGUAAUGAAAAUAUUUGGUAAGGUGAGACUGACACAGAUCCUUUCCUGAUUUAGGGCAGAGGCUGAAUAUAGGUUACCCACAUGCCCAGGAAAAAGCCCUGUUCUGCUGAGUUGCUCUGUUUCAACUCCUUUGACACAGCUAUUUUAUUUGGUAUAAAAGUCUUCUGAAGGAGGGAUCUGAACCUGGGUGUCCCAUCUCUUAGGUGAAUCCUCUCAGCAGUUGCUUAGAAAACCAGCCUCUUGUUUAGUCUUAAGCAGGCAGUAAGGCAGUCCAAAUUCAAGCCACUUCCAGGAUCUCCCAGGCUUUUGAUUGUUGUGAUAACUACAUGAAACCUAUUCUGUGUUAAGGAGCAACAGGGUAAAAACAGACCCCAGGAACAAAUGUAUCUCUCCAUUUCCACAAAGCUGAUGUUUUUUUUUCAGACUUUCUGAGGCACUUCAGUUGUAGUAAAUACAUAGUCAAUUGUCUAAGUAGCAGACUGACAUUAAUGAGGGGCAUGUGGAAAUUCAUGUCUGAGCCAUUCUGAUUUCAAGGGAUGGCAGACACUUACUUCACCUGGGACUUUUUUUUUAAAUCCUGGUCUUGCUUUUUCACUGGAGCAGGCAACAUUUCUGACAAGCUUCAUGAAGGCAUUGGAGAUAAUUGAUUAUGGCAUUGUCUACUUUUCAAGGUCAAAGCACAAGUUAUAAAAGUAGGAAUUUUAUUUCAGGAACGGAUGGCAUAUAUUUUUAAGUGAUAAGCCCAUAGGAUGCUAAAUAUGUCCUCCUGGAAAUUUUAAAAAUGUAAACUAUCAUUACUCUGUUCUGUUCUGCGGUUGCAAGCAUUGGUGCCAGAAUUUUUUUAUGCCUGUGGUAACAAAAUCUCUCUCCCUCUCCCUUUGCCCUUAGCCAGCCUUCCCAGGCCAGAAGUUACAACUGAUUUUAGGAAGAGGCCUUUUUGCAUUUGGUGUACAUAUACUUGUAUACACACAUAUUUAAGUCCAUAUCCAGCACAGUGGAGAUCACCUCAGCAGGCUCGUUCUUCAAAGCCUUCCAUUUAGGGAAUUCUCUCCUUGGACAAAAAUCUUCUGUGAAAUUAUGGCUUCUAAAAAAACUGAAGCAGUAGAUAUGUUUUACAAAUGUUUUGAGGUAAAGCUAGGUUUUACUUUUUCCUAGUGAGUUAUUUCUGUUUUAUACAGUUCUUCCGCAUGCAUUCUGCAUGGGAGAAUGUCAUUGUCAUCACAGAAACACCACGUGAGGAAUACUUCUCGCACAUGAAUAUUUCUCAUAUGUAGAUUUUAUCAUUAUUUUUUGUUACAUAAAAUUCCAGAAACCUGCUUCAAUAUUCACUGCAGUCAAUGCAAAGUCAGUCAUUUACUUCAGUGGGCUUCAGAUCAAGACAGUGCUGAGAAAUGGGUGUAAUAAAGACCAUUAACACAGAAUUGUUUUCUGGACUUGGCAUUUUUAAAUCAUUUCUCUUUGGUUUUUGAGCUACAUAGUUCAUGCUCAAUAAAAAGUGGUUAUAGUGUUGUUACACACUGUAACUGAGCCAACAACUUAAGUUGCACUGUAACUAAAUCAUAACCUUUGGACAAGUUACAAGGAAAAUGUAUUUGCUUUAUUGAUUUUUAGUCAUUUCUGCACUGAUCAUUUACUUUAAAUACAAAGACUGAAACAAGGAUAUGAAAAUGCAUAGUUUUUUAGCCUUUGACUAAAUGUCAUUACAGCAAAAUAAUCUUCUGUAGCUUCAUAUAAUAAGUAAGUGAUUUAGAUUUAUUCCUUCAUUACCACUUUUUGCAAAUAUUUCAAAAUAGCAGUAGUAAUAAACUUCUUUGAUUAAUAUAGAUAUAUCUAUUAAGGAAUUAGACGAGGGCAUGCUUUGAUUUUUGUGAAUUGUUCCAAGAAAUGUAACCUGUAUUGUAGUAGCAGCCAGAGGUCUCAUACAGACAGGGAAAAAACGUGUCAGAAGUAUGUUACAGAUUUAUUGAGAAAGGGUAACAUUGCAGUCUAAAUUAGGACAGUUGAAUUGACUACAUCUUUGUUCUCUUUGUUUUCUGCAAAAUUAUUCUCUAAUUUUGUUGAAAUUAAACAUAUGGUUUUGUUUCUGCUGUUUGAUUAACUACAACAUUUUUGAAGAGAGGAAAAAUCAAAGAGAUUUCAAAUUAGCUGUGAAAAUGCUUGCCCUGUGAUUCUUUAAAAAUAUUUGAACAAACUUUUAUUAGGAAUUUGAAGGAAGUGAUAUUAUGUGUUUCUUUAGGCACUGUCAUCAAUCCAAAACAAUAAUCCUAGCAAAACCCAUAGAAUUGUAUAUUGUUCUUUAACGACAAAGCCUGUCUCCCCAGCAGAGCGUUGCACGAGGGAGAGGGUACUCCGUAUGAACGUGGCCAUAAGGCUUCCAGGCAGAGCUGGUUGCCCUUAGCCAGGUGAAGGGUCUCAGGUCUUUUUGCAUGUGGCCACAUAAGUAUAUAUGCACACACACAUACCAAAUGUGGGACACUGUCUGUGAAGAAGUGCUGGUCAGCACAGAUUGGGCAGUGAUAUACUGUUGCUCUCAAAAAACCCUUUUACAGGUAGUACUUUUUCAAUACCUAUAAAUAAUGUUCCAUUAUUACCUGACAGUAAUUUACGGAGACUAAACAGAUGCCUGUGCCUUUAAAACCUGGUAUAAAACAUUAUAAUAAAAUUCAGGAAAAAAAAAGUUGGUCAGUCUUGAACAAAAGUCAUUGCACAUUUUGCUCUUAUCUCCAAACCCAGCAAUAAUAGAUCUCAUAAAUAUCUGAUUUAGAGGGAAGUUAGACUCAGCUGACAAGUUGCAUGAAGCAGUUCAGAAGUGGUAUUUGUUUGAAAUCAGAACUAUCUAUCCUUCAAUCCUGUAGAUAAGGCAUCUGCAAAAAAAUAUGGCAUAGGUUCCUUCCCAGGCCACUGUUACUCUCAUGUGUCAUCUUUACCCCACGUGGUCAUAUAAUGUAGACGGCCUGUGUUCCUAGUAUCACGUUUUCUGUUGUUGUGUCUAUCUGGUAACUAUUUUUUAAAACGCAUGAUCGUAGAAAAGAGCUGCAACAUAUUCAUUUAAUGCUAUACACAUAAACAUCAAAAGUGGUAUUUUUUCAGCUCAUCUGAACUUGGUCAAGGACAUUAGAGACUUUUAAAUACUGAAAAAGAACAUUUUUCUCAUCUGUCUGAGACACUGCUUUGUGAAAAUCCACUUUACCAUUCUUCUGUCCCCUUGUAUUAUCUGAGACAAAUGUAUGGAUGUUGUUCCUACAUCAGGAAAUUAUAGACAUCUCCUCUUGAAGGGAAGACCAAAUGCAAGUAAUAAAAUAACUGCAUUUUGUUAAUAAAUUAGCAGAGGACUGAAUGUUUAUUUUUGUUGGAAAAGCAAACCUGGCCUGGAAAUGAAAAUCAGUCUGAAGCAUUGAACUAGGAUUGUAGGUUAGAAAAGAAAAGCAGGAAGACAUAUAAGACAUGGGAAAUUCAUGAGAGAUAUUGAGAAGAAAUGUUUUUGUCGUCAUUUUGGAGGCUAAAAUAUAUGCAUUUUGAGGUUCUAAUAAUGAUUUACAAAGAUAGCUUUUGCUAAAGUUGGAACUCUCUGCAAUCUAACAGCCUCAUCUGCCUUGUAUGUGUAACAUUUGAAACUUCUUGUCUAAUAUAAUAAAAUUAAAAAAAUUUUAUGUAACACGAGGGAUUUUAACCAAUUACCAUUUUAUGUUAUAAUUAUUACUUGGUGAAUGAAAAAUUUAUAUUCUUAUUUUAAUCUUAUCAUAUGGAGAAAUGUCCAAACUAUGCAAGUUGUUAAACCUUCUCUGGUUAGUGACUCAUGCAUGAACUUAUGCUCUUUCCCUUCAGAAUAAUUCCAAUCCAAUAAAGGAAAGAAAAAAAAUGGGAGUGGUGGAAAACUUUAAUUUCAGACUACAUGUUGUUCAUGAACUGUUUGUUUAACUCUAUUUGUAUUGGUUGGGUUGAUACCUGUGUCACAUGAUAAUGUUUUUUCUUCAUGAUUGGAAGCUAAAACUGAAUCACAAAACAAUUACUAGUGACUAAUAAAAAGCACUCUCAUUUUCUUUAUCUAGUCACAAUAGCAGUU